Molecule: ribosomal RNA, 633 nt
Filed under: Triticum aestivum (bread wheat)
Lineage: Eukaryota; Viridiplantae; Streptophyta; Magnoliopsida; Poales; Poaceae
Description: partial small subunit ribosomal RNA
Source: RNAcentral
AUGGCCAUCUUCGACGAGUUCUACGUUAGGUCCAUCGACCUCGGGCGCCUCAACUAUGGGAUCAUUUCGCUCAUCCCAAAGGUUCCCGGGGCGUCCGACAUCCGCCAGUUUCGUCCGAUCACGGUGAUUAAUGUGAUCUUCCGGAUUCUGGCAAAAGGGUACACCAAUAGGGUGACCCUUCUUGUCAAUCUCAUUACCCACCCCAACUAAUCCGCCUUCAUUCAAGGCUGGUACAUCCUGGAUGGGGUGCUAGUCCUUCAUGAAGUCUUGCAUGAGGUCCGAUCCAAACACCUUAAGGCGGUCUUCCUGAAGGUCGAUUUCCACAAGGCUUACGACACUGUUAGCUGGCCAUUCCUUCGGGAGGUUUUGCUCCGGAAAGGCUUCGACGAGCGAUGGAUCACCAGAGUGAUGCACAUGGUCUCCUGCGGUCGCACUACCGUGAACAUCAAUGGGGAGAUUGGCCCUUACUUCCCCAUCCUUUGUGGGGUUAGACAAGGCGAUCCUUUCUCCCCAUUCUUGUUCAAUAUGGUUGUGGACGCGCUUGCCACUAUCCUAGACAAGGCCAAGGUUGCGGUCCAUAUUCGUGGGAUCACUCCUCAUCUGGCUGGUGGCUCCGGGAUCUCCAUGCUCUAG